GUGCCCGAGGGUCGCGCGUCACUCGGGGCGCGGCCGCCCCCAGACACCUGCAGGUGUGGCCGCAGGAGCCGCAGGGACAGCGGAGCCAGCGCUGUGCGAAUGAAAAGUGUGACCUGACAGCUGGUGGGUCUUUUGAGAAAAUCUGUGGACUGUUCUUAGAAAGAUGAAAAUUCUAUCUUCUAUACCCAUCUGAAAAGCAAGUGGUUUUUGUGCUUCCUAAACCCAAAAGUCUUCUAAAGCCCCAGAUCAAGACUGUUUUAACAGCAGGAAUUGAAGAAGAGGCUCUUGCGAGCACAUCUGUGGCAAGAGGACAAUGUCCCCAGCCAGGCUAUUUCACGUCUGACAUCCUGCAGCAAGGGUUUCCCGUGACCAAAUUUUCAUCCAUGCAGAGAGGAGAGACAUAGGUACUUGAUGGGAGAUGUAACCUAUCCGGGACAUUUGCCUAUGUUUGAGACAUGUUUAACCAGAUUUCCAGAUUGAGUUUCUCAUUUUCAGUUGAACAUAUUUUGCUUUUCAACCUUCUUGGUUUUGUCCCAGUUACUGUACUUUUCUAUGGACAGACCAAAUAGAGAGAUCAUACUUGUUCUUAAUAUACCCUUUUCAGGACAAAAACCCCAGGCAUUUUAUGGGGGUUGCUUCUUAUUUCUUCCAUUAGAGGCAUCUCUGAAAACAUCUAUAUUUUUCCAUUUAGUAAGGACAGCUCAUCUGAUAAUCAGUCCAAAAUACUGCCUCUGACAGUGAGAGGUAAAGGAUUGCUGUAUUCUUGCUUUUCUCUCUCUUUUUUUUUUCUUUUUUUUUCCUUUUUGGUUUUUGUUUGCUUGUUUGUUUUUGUAGUUUUUUUGUUGUUGUUGGUUUGGAGGUUUUUUUGCAUAUCUCUAUUUAGAACAGCUACUAAUAUUUACAGAGCAAUGUGUGAAGAAAAGGCAUUUGUUAGUAUGUGGCUUUAGAGGGAAGAAUUUCUUUUGUGUAUGCUGCUUCCACAAGCCAGAGCAGUAGAAAGCUUUUCUACUCAAGACCUCUGUAAGUUCAUUGUAUUUAAGAAGGUGUUGGUUUGGUAAGAUGGUUAAUUAUUUUUGUUUAAAAAUACAUAAGCAGUUUAGCUGAGUUAUUUAAAAUCCAUUUGGUUUCAUUAUAGUAGAUAUUUAGUCCCUUGCCAUUUACAGUGUAUUUCUCAAAAUAGUUUUCUCCCUUCUGUCAUUGCUAGCUGCCUUUGUUUCUAUCAAAAUAUGAAACAUUUUAAAAUUACAUUAAAAUGAUUUAAAAUUAGGCUGUUGUAGUGGGUUGAA
Molecule: long non-coding RNA, 1286 nt
Organism: Corvus hawaiiensis (hawaiian crow)
Lineage: Eukaryota; Metazoa; Chordata; Aves; Passeriformes; Corvidae
Exons: 3
Source: RefSeq, a predicted model, not a curated record